UACCCGCAGCACAAGUGGUGGUCAUUAUUAUUGGGCCUAAAGCGUCCGUAGCUGGCCUGUUAGGUGCCUGGGUAAAUCGAUGCGCUCAACGCAUCGAACUCCGGGUAGACCGGCAGGCUUGGGACCGGGAGAGGCGUGAGCUACUCGAGGGGUAGGGGUAAAAUCCUGUAAUCCUUCGGGGGGGACCAGUGGCGAAGGCGUCACGCUAGAACGGCUCCGACAGUGAGGGACGAAGCCCUGGGGCGCAAACCGG
RNAcentral lists this ribosomal RNA (253 nucleotides) under uncultured bacterium. RNAcentral's name for it is "partial 16S ribosomal RNA". It matches the Rfam family "Archaeal small subunit ribosomal RNA", at positions 474 to 727 of the family's 1478-position model. The record is from RNAcentral.